CCUACGGGGGACAGCAGUAAGGGAUAUUGGUCAAUGGGGGCAACCCUGAACCAGCAACGCCGCGUGAGGGAAGACGGUUUUCGGAUUGUAAACCUCUGUCCUCUGUGAAGAUGAUGACGGUAGCAGAGGAGGUAGCUCUGUCUAACUACGUGCCAGCAGCCGCGGUACUACGUAGGGAGCGGGCGUGGUCCGGAUUUACUGGGUGUAAAGGGUGUGUAGGCGGCUUGGCAAGUCAGUAGUGAAAUCCAGGGGGUUAAACCAUGAACUGCUAUUGAAACUGUCGAGCUUGAGUGAAGUAGAGGUAGGCGGAAUUCCCGGGGUAGCGGUGAAAUGCGUAGAGAUCGGGAGGAACACCAGUGGCGAAGGCGGCCUACUGGGCUGUAACUGACGCUGAGGCUCGAAAGCGUGGGUAGCAAACAGGAUUAGAUACCCUUGUAGUC
This 440-nucleotide ribosomal RNA is filed under the name uncultured bacterium. Its description in RNAcentral is "partial 16S ribosomal RNA". It matches the Rfam family "Bacterial small subunit ribosomal RNA", at positions 338 to 795 of the family's 1533-position model. The record is from RNAcentral.